CUACGGGCCGCUGCAGUCGAGAAUCUUCCGCAAUGGACGAAAGUCUGACGGAGCGACGCCGCGUGCGGGAUGAAGGCCUUCGGGUUGUAAACCGCUGUCAGUGGGGAGGAAAUGCAUCAGGGUUCUCCCUGGUGUUUGACCGAUCCGCAGAGGAAGCGCAGGCUAAGUUCGUGCCAGCAGCCGCGGUAACACGAACUGCGCGAACGUUAUUCGGAAUCACGGGGCUUAAAGAGUUCGUAGGCGGCCUUUCAAGUCGGGUGUGAAAUCCCUCGGCUCAACCGAGGAAUUGCGCCUGAUACUGUUGGGCUUGAGGGGGAUAGGGGUGAGCGGAACUGAUGGUGGAGCGGUGAAAUGCGUUGAUAUCAUCAGGAACACCGGUGGCGAAGGCGGCUCACUGGAUCUCUUCUGACGCUGAGGAACGAAAGCUAGGGGAGCGAACGGGAUUAGAUACCCCCGUAGUC
This 461-nucleotide ribosomal RNA is filed under the name uncultured bacterium. RNAcentral describes it as "partial 16S ribosomal RNA". It matches the Rfam family "Bacterial small subunit ribosomal RNA", at positions 339 to 795 of the family's 1533-position model. The record is from RNAcentral.